This 907-nucleotide long non-coding RNA is filed under the name Pongo abelii (Sumatran orangutan). Its description in RNAcentral is "lincRNA". Lineage: Eukaryota; Metazoa; Chordata; Mammalia; Primates; Hominidae. The record is from RNAcentral.
GAAGGCCAAUGGCUUCUGGUAUCAUUAAAGACUCUGUUUUUACCUCCUCUGGGCCUCAGGAGACCAGCCUGGCACCAGAGGAGGGGCUGGCAGAGCCCCAAGCCGAUCCAGGCUCCAGUCCACACCCACCGGCCCCAGGUCUGGCCACAGGCUGGGCCCUGGUGUGCAGACAGCAGUGGCCACUGCUCCAGGGCCUUUGCACAAGGUGGCUGCAGGUCCAGGUGCUCAUGGGGAGAGGGUCCACAGCAGCCUCUUGUUUUCCUUCCCUUCUUGGGAGACAGCUGCUCCUCCUGGCUGUUUCCAGGAAGUGUGUUUGUUAUUUGGCUCCUGGAAACACCAUGUGAUGAAACAGGCUCUGUUGGGCUGGCCUGCCAGGCGGAGGCUGUGGGCGCCCAGGAGUCCCACCACGAAGCAGGCGGCAGAGGCCCGACGGCCCCACCCUGCAGGCCAGGACCUGGCACCUAAACGGGGAGAUGGAAGAACAUGGAAAAUUCCCUAAGAGCAAAUUGAUGCUCAGCUUCCGCGGGCACCAACUUGCUGCAGAAUCCUGCCUUGCAGAUCUUCGUUCCUCGAGCAUUCGGACGCCUCGGGCCCCAGAAGUUCCAGAACAAGAAAGCUCUGUUUCAUGCGGACACGCUCACACACGCACACAUGCUCACACAAGCACUUAUACGUGCACACACACGCACUCACGACACACACACGCUCACGUGCACACACACACACACUCGCGUGCUCACACACGACACACAUACACGCAUGCUCACACGUGCACAGGCACACUCACACAUCCAUGGCCACGUAGCCCCAGUCUCAGCAUCAUGUCCUCUAUUUAGAAAUAUUGGCUAAAUACCUAAUAAAUAACUAAACAGAAAUGUAAUCUUUAAUAAAGUCUCACAAACCAAGA